This 384-nucleotide ribosomal RNA is filed under the name Microdiaphanosoma sp. RNAcentral's name for it is "SSU rRNA". It matches the Rfam family "Eukaryotic small subunit ribosomal RNA", at positions 1439 to 1829 of the family's 1831-position model. Lineage: Eukaryota; Ciliophora; Colpodea; Bryometopida; Kreyellidae. The record is from RNAcentral.
GGAAGUUUGAGGCAAUAACAGGUCUGUGAUGCCCUUAGAUGUCCUGGGCCGCACGCGCGCUACACUGAUACGUGCAACAAGUUCUAUCCUGGGCCGGAAGGUCUCGGGUAAUCUUGAUAAUGCGUAUCGUGAUAGGGAUAGAUCUUUGGAAUUAUAGAUCUUGAACGAGGAAUUCCUAGUAAGCAUAAGUCAUCAGCUUGUGCUGAUUACGUCCCUGCCCUUUGUACACACCGCCCGUCGCUCCUACCGAUUUUGAGUGAUCCGGUGAACCUUCUGGACUGUGCCUGGACUUGAUCCAGGUUGGGAAGUUAAGUAAACCUUAUCACUUAGAGGAAGGAGAAGUCGUAACAAGGUUUCCGUAGGUGAACCUGCAGAAGGAUCAAG